GACGAACGCUGGCGGCGUGCCUAAUACAUGCAAGUCGAACGAACCGCGACUAGGUGCUUGCACUUGGUCAAGGUGAGUGGCGAACGGGUGAGUAACACGUGGGUAACCUACCUCAUAGUGGGGGAUAACAGUCGGAAACGACUGCUAAUACCGCAUAGGACAUAGGAUCACAUGAUCCAGUGAGGAAAGGUGGCGCAAGCUAUCGCUAAGAGAUGGACCCGCGGUGCAUUAGCUAGUUGGUAGGGUAAAGGCCUACCAAGGCGAUGAUGCAUAGCCGACCUGAGAGGGUGAUCGGCCACAUUGGGACUGAGACACGGCCCAAACUCCUACGGGAGGCAGCAGUAGGGAAUCUUCCGCAAUGGACGCAAGUCUGACGGAGCAACGCCGCGUGAGUGAAGAAGGUCUUCGGAUCGUAAAGCUCUGUUGUUAGAGAAGAACAGCGCGUAGAGUAACUGUUAUGCGUGUGACGGUAUCUAACCAGAAAGCCACGGCUAACUACGUG
RNAcentral lists this ribosomal RNA (502 nucleotides) under uncultured bacterium. Its description in RNAcentral is "partial 16S ribosomal RNA". It matches the Rfam family "Bacterial small subunit ribosomal RNA", at positions 28 to 507 of the family's 1533-position model. The record is from RNAcentral.